RNAcentral lists this ribosomal RNA (253 nucleotides) under uncultured bacterium. Its description in RNAcentral is "partial 16S ribosomal RNA". It matches the Rfam family "Bacterial small subunit ribosomal RNA", at positions 524 to 776 of the family's 1533-position model. The record is from RNAcentral.
UACGAAGGGGGCGAGCGUUGUUCGGAUUUACUGGGCGUCAAGGGCGCGCAGGCGGCUCAUUUUGUCAGGCGUGAAAGCCCCGGGCUUAACCUGGGAACUGCGUUUGAUACGGAUGGGCUAGAGUUCGGGAGAGGAGAGUGGAAUUCCCAGUGUAGAGGUGAAAUUCGUAGAUAUUGGGAAGAACACCGGUGGCGAAGGCGGCUCUCUGGACCGAGACUGACGCUGAGGCGCGAAAGCGUGGGGAGCAAACAGG